This 253-nucleotide ribosomal RNA is filed under the name uncultured bacterium. RNAcentral's name for it is "partial 16S ribosomal RNA". It matches the Rfam family "Bacterial small subunit ribosomal RNA", at positions 524 to 776 of the family's 1533-position model. The record is from RNAcentral.
UACGUAGGGGGCAAGCGUUGUCCGGAUUUAUUGGGCGUAAAGAGCGUGUAGGCGGCUAGAUAGGUCCGUUGUGAAAACUCGAGGCUCAACCUCGAGACGCCGGUGGAAACCAUCUAGCUAGAGUCCGGAAGAGGAGAGUGGAAUUCCUGGUGUAGCGGUGAAAUGCGCAGAUAUCAGGAAGAACACCCGUGGCGAAGGCGGCUCUCUGGCCCGAUACUGACGCUGAGGCACGAAAGCGUGGGGAGCAAACAGG